UAGGGCUUCACACGUCAUACAAAUGGUCGGGACAGAGGGUCGCCAACCCGCAGGGGGAGCCAAUCCCAGAAACCCGAUCGUAGUCCGGAUUGCAGGCUGCAACUCGCCUGCAUGAAGUCGGAAUCGCUAGUAAUCGCGGAUCAGCAUGUCGCGGUGAAUACGUUCCCGGGUCUU
This 174-nucleotide ribosomal RNA is filed under the name uncultured Pusillimonas sp. Its description in RNAcentral is "partial 16S ribosomal RNA". It matches the Rfam family "Bacterial small subunit ribosomal RNA", at positions 1209 to 1382 of the family's 1533-position model. The record is from RNAcentral. Lineage: Bacteria; Pseudomonadati; Pseudomonadota; Betaproteobacteria; Burkholderiales; Alcaligenaceae.